CCUACGGGAGGCAGCAGUAAGGAAUAUUGGUCAAUGGGCGCAAGCCUGAACCAGCCAUGCCGCGUGCAGGAAGACGGCCCUAUGGGUUGUAAACUGCUUUUGAACAAGAGAAAACCUCGGUACGUGUACCGAGCUGAUAGUAUUGUUAGAAUAAGCAUCGGCUAACUUCGUGCCAGCAGCCGCGGUAAGACGAAGGAUGCAAGCGUUAUCCGGAUUCAUUGGGUUUAAAGGGUGCGUAGGCGGACCGAUAAGUCAGUGGUGAAAUCUCUCAGCUUAACUGAGAAACUGCCAUUGAUACUGUCAGUCUAGAGUAUAGAUGAUGUGGGCGGAAUAUGACAUGUAGUGGUGAAAUACUUAGAUAUGUCAUAGAACACCGAUUGCGAAGGCAGCUCACAAAACUAUAACUGACGCUGAGGCACGAAAGUGCGGGGAUCAAACAGGAUUAGAUACCCUGGUAGUCCGCACCGUAAACGAUGAUUACUCGUUGUUGGCAAUAUGACCGUCAGCGACCAAGCGAAAGCGAAUAAGUAAUUCCACCUGGGGAGUUACGCCGGCACGGUUGAACGUUAAAUUGAAUUGACGG
This 583-nucleotide ribosomal RNA is filed under the name uncultured bacterium. RNAcentral describes it as "bacterial SSU rRNA". It matches the Rfam family "Bacterial small subunit ribosomal RNA", at positions 338 to 916 of the family's 1533-position model. The record is from RNAcentral.